RNAcentral lists this ribosomal RNA (207 nucleotides) under uncultured bacterium. Its description in RNAcentral is "partial 16S ribosomal RNA". It matches the Rfam family "Bacterial small subunit ribosomal RNA", at positions 568 to 774 of the family's 1533-position model. The record is from RNAcentral.
AGCGUAGGCGGAUAGUUUAGUCAGAGGUGAAAGCCCAGGGCUCAACCUUGGAAUUGCCUUUGAUACUGGCUAUCUUGAGUAUGGAAGAGGUAUGUGGAACUCCGAGUGUAGAGGUGAAAUUCGUAGAUAUUCGGAAGAACACCAGUGGCGAAGGCGACAUACUGGUCCAUUACUGACGCUGAGGCUCGAAAGCGUGGGGAGCAAACA